UGUGCUAAGCGGGGAGCUAGUGGUGCCCUGUAACUCGCAAUCCACUACAGCGAGGCUGACCAGUCAUCUAGGGAAAUUUUUGAUUGUGAAAGUGUUUUUAAAAGAUGUUGAACAAAAGGUCUUGUGCAAUUGCAGGCUUUGAACCAUGUCAGGGUCGGAAGACAGCAGCAUUAAGAAGUUGUUAGCGAUGUGCCAUAAGGUAGCCUUUUGGGAGUUUU
This 218-nucleotide signal recognition particle RNA is filed under the name bovine gut metagenome. RNAcentral's name for it is "Bacterial large signal recognition particle RNA". It matches the Rfam family "Bacterial large signal recognition particle RNA", at positions 3 to 216 of the family's 256-position model. Rfam says of the family: The signal recognition particle (SRP) is a universally conserved ribonucleoprotein involved in the co-translational targeting of proteins to membranes. Archaeal SRP consists of a 7S RNA and homologues of the eukaryotic SRP19 and SRP54 proteins. In most bacteria, the SRP consists of a 4.5S RNA and the Ffh protein (a homologue of the eukaryotic SRP54 protein). The record is from RNAcentral.